AGAUUGAACGCUGGCGGCAUGCCUUACACAUGCAAGUCGAACGGCAGCACGGGAGCAAUCCUGGUGGCGAGUGGCGAACGGGUGAGUAAUAUAUCGGAACGUGCCCAGUCGUGGGGGAUAACGUAGAGAAAUUUACGCUAAUACCGCAUACGAUCCAAGGAUGAAAGCGGGGGACCGUAAGGCCUCGCGCGACUGGAGCGGCUGAUAUCAGAUUAGCUUGUUGGUGAGGUAAAGCUCACCAAGGCGACGAUCUGUAGCUGGUUUGAGAGAACGACCAGCCACACUGGGACUGAGACACGGCCCAGACUCCACGGGAGGCAGCAGUGGGAAUUUGGACAAUGGGACGAAAGGCCUGAUCCAGCAAUGCCGCGUGCAGGAAGAAGGCCUUACGGGUUGUAAACUGUCGUUUAGGUAACGGA
RNAcentral lists this ribosomal RNA (419 nucleotides) under uncultured soil bacterium. RNAcentral's name for it is "bacterial SSU rRNA". It matches the Rfam family "Bacterial small subunit ribosomal RNA", at positions 26 to 448 of the family's 1533-position model. The record is from RNAcentral.